UAGGGAAUCUUCGGCAAUGGACGCAACCCUGAUCGAGCCACUCCGCGUGAGUGAAGAAGGCUUUCGGAUUGUAAAGCUCUGUUGUUAGAGAAGAAAGUGGGUAGGAGAGGAAAAUCUACCACUUGACGUUAACUAACCAGAAAGGGACGGUUAAUUACGUGCCGGCAGCCGCGGUAUACCGAGGGUCCCGACCGUUGUCCGGAUUACUUGGGCGUAAAGCGAGGGCGGGCGGUUCUUUAAGUCGGAAUUUAAAGGCCGUGGCUUAACCAUGAUACGCUUUGGAAACUGGAGGACUUGAGUGCAGAAGGGGAGAGUGGAAUUCCAUGUGUAGCGGUGAAAUGCGUAGAUAUAAGGAGGAACACCGGUGGCGAAAGCGGCUCUCUGGUCUGUAACUGACGCUGAGGCUCGAAAGCGUGGGGAGCAAACAGG
RNAcentral lists this ribosomal RNA (429 nucleotides) under Bacillota bacterium. Its description in RNAcentral is "Firmicutes bacterium partial 16S ribosomal RNA". It matches the Rfam family "Bacterial small subunit ribosomal RNA", at positions 355 to 776 of the family's 1533-position model. Lineage: Bacteria; Bacillati; Bacillota. The record is from RNAcentral.